GAAAUUUCGAAUCUUUUUCUGUGAUCUUGCUGCUUGGUUGAUGCGUUGUGAAUUAGAUGUAAAUUCUACUGCAGCAACCUUUUUUUAUUUUUUUUGUUGACGAUUGUUCAGGAAUUUGAAUUACAGGAUUUUGUUUUGUUUUUACAUGUCAUGAGUGGUUUUUUUAUUGAGAUUAGAUUUAUGGUAUUUUGUCCAGUUGAUCUAGGCUUCAUUAUGGGGUUUUUCUGUUUCGGUGAUUUUGUGAAGCAGUUUAUCUGGAAGUUGGUGUUGCUGUUUUCAGUUUCUUUUGACGUGGAAUGGUGCUUUGAGGAUUUUGAGAUAAUUGUUAUACUGGUGUUUAUGUUUUAAUGGUUCAUCAGAUGUUUUAAACAUGUAGGACAUCAGCUAGAUUUUGAUUCCAACUUUGGGAAUUACGGGGAGGGCAGAGGCCUUGGCGUCCUUUCAGUCAAGAAUCAGGGCCUCACAAUCACUAGACAAUAUUUCUCUCAUGCCUUUUUUUCGUUCAUGAUUCGAUAUUCUGGUGUCCUAGGCCUAGAGGAACCACACCAAUCCAUCCCGAACUUGAUGGUUAAACUUUACUGCGAUGACGAUACUAUAGGGGGGUGUCCGGCGGAAAAUAAACUCGACGCUAGAAUGAUAAAAGCUUAACAUCAUCUUUAUUGACUUUUUCAUAUUUCAAAAGAUUAAAAUAAAAAAUGCAAAGGUCAUCUUAUUCAAUAACAUCUCUUUACAAUACAGGAAAUUGACAGAUACUAGGAUUGAAAUGAAUAGAAGGGGAUACUUGUGUCUUUUGGAUUUGAUUUAUCCAAUAUGGUGUUAAAGAUGUGUGGAGCUCAAUUUUCUUCUAUUUCUCUAAUGCAAAUUUGAUUUCAAAGUUAUUUUAAAUUCAUAAAAAUCUUGGAGAAGAUUUGGACCAAAUCUGAUUUUGAUUUUCAAAUUUGAUGGCUAUAAAACUCAAGAUUCUAUUCAUAUAAUUCUUCAUAUCUAUGGCCAUCUAUUGCUCUAAAAAAGGUGCUUACUUUUUCCAAACAAAUGGUAUCAGAUAUGGAGUAACUUUCUAGUUUAUGAGAAAAGUGAGAGAAAUGGUGUACGAAAAUGAGAAUUUGAUGAACAACAUAUUCGAUGGCAAGGACUUCGAGUAUUGGAAGAUGCAAAUCGAUGAUUACAUAUGCCAAAGAAGUUACAUAUAUCUCUUUUUGAGUCAAGAUGAAAAGUAUAAGCAAAUAUGAUCGGAAUGCCUAAACAGGUAGGCAUUGUGAGUUGUAUGCCCAUCAUUGAAAAAAAAUAUUAUAAUAAACACAUUGUGCGAGAGGACCAUAAAUAGCAUGAUAAAAGCUCUAUUAGACAUAAACGAGAAGCCCUCGACAAUGAACACGGUGUAUCUAAUGUGAAAAUUUCAAUCUCAGCAUAACUGAAGGUGCCUAUGCAA
Dendrobium catenatum is the source of this 1429-nucleotide long non-coding RNA. RefSeq lists it as uncharacterized. The transcript is spliced from 2 exons. NCBI's taxonomy places the organism in Eukaryota, Viridiplantae, Streptophyta, Magnoliopsida, Asparagales, Orchidaceae. The record is from RefSeq and is a predicted model, not a curated record.